This 301-nucleotide ribosomal RNA is filed under the name uncultured bacterium. Its description in RNAcentral is "partial 16S ribosomal RNA". It matches the Rfam family "Bacterial small subunit ribosomal RNA", at positions 509 to 807 of the family's 1533-position model. The record is from RNAcentral.
CAGCCGCCACGGUAAUACGAAGGGUGCAAGCGUUACUCGGAAUUACUGGGCGUAAAGCGUGCGUAGGUGGUGGUUUAAGUCCGUAGUGAAAGCCCUGGGCUCAACCUGGGAAUUGCAGUGGAUACUGGGUCACUAGAGUGUGGUAGAGGAUAGUGGAAUUUCCGGUGUAGCAGUGAAAUGCGUAGAGAUCGGAAGGAACAUCUGUGGCGAAGGCGACUAUCUGGGCCAACACUGACACUGAGGCACGAAAGCGUGGGGAGCAAACAGGAUUAGAUACCCCUGUAGUCCCUGUCUCUUAUAC